This 986-nucleotide ribosomal RNA is filed under the name human metagenome. Its description in RNAcentral is "bacterial LSU rRNA". It matches the Rfam family "Bacterial large subunit ribosomal RNA", at positions 1945 to 2925 of the family's 2925-position model. The record is from RNAcentral.
ACCAUCCUAAGGUAGCGAAAUUCCUUGUCGGGUAAGUUCCGACCUGCACGAAUGGCGUAACGAUGGCCACACUGUCUCCUCCCGAGACUCAGCGAAGUUGAAAUGGUUGUGAAGAUGCAAUCUCCCCGCUGCUAGACGGAAAGACCCCGUGAACCUUUACUGUAGCUUUGCAUUGGACUUUGAAGUCACUUGUGUAGGAUAGGUGGGAGGCUUAGAAGCAGAGACGCUAGUUUCUGUGGAGCCGUCCUUGAAAUACCACCCUGGUGACUUUGAGGUUCUAACCCAGACCCGUAAUCCGGGUCGGGGACCGUGCAUGGUAGGCAGUUUGACUGGGGCGGUCUCCUCCCAAAGAGUAACGGAGGAGUUCGAAGGUUACCUAGGUCCGGUCGGAAAUCGGACUGAUAGUGCAAUGGCAAAAGGUAGCUUAACUGCGAGACCGACAAGUCGAGCAGGUGCGAAAGCAGGACAUAGUGAUCCGGUGGUUCUGUAUGGAAGGGCCAUCGCUCAACGGAUAAAAGGUACUCUGGGGAUAACAGGCUGAUACCGCCCAAGAGUUCAUAUCGACGGCGGUGUUUGGCACCUCGAUGUCGGCUCAUCUCAUCCUGGGGCUGUAGCCGGUCCCAAGGGUAUGGCUGUUCGCCAUUUAAAGAGGUACGUGAGCUGGGUUUAAAACGUCGUGAGACAGUUUGGUCCCUAUCUGCUGUGGGCGUUGGAGAUUUGACGGGGGCUGCUCCUAGUACGAGAGGACCGGAGUGGACACACCUCUGGUGUACCUGUUGUCACGCCAGUGGCAUCGCAGGGUAGCUAAGUGUGGAAGAGAUAACCGCUGAAAGCAUCUAAGCGGGAAACUUGCCUGAAGAUGAGAUCUCCCUGGGGACUCGAUCCCCCUGAAGGGUCGUCCAAGACCAGGACGUUGAUAGGCCGGGUGUGGAAGCGCAGUAAUGCGUGCAGCUAACCGGUACUAAUUGCCCGUGAGGCUUGACCCU